RNAcentral lists this ribosomal RNA (548 nucleotides) under uncultured Glomeromycotina. RNAcentral's name for it is "SSU rRNA". It matches the Rfam family "Eukaryotic small subunit ribosomal RNA", at positions 548 to 1098 of the family's 1831-position model. The record is from RNAcentral. Lineage: Eukaryota; Fungi; Glomeromycota.
UUGGAGGGCAAGUCUGGUGCCAGCAGCCGCGGUAAUUCCAGCUCCAAUAGCGUAUAUUAAAGUUGCUGCAGUCAAAAAGCUCGUAGUUGAAUUUCGGGACCAUCAUGUCGGUCGUGCCUCGGUACGUACUGGCAUCGUCGGUUUCUCCCUUCUGACGAACCAUGAUGUCAUUUAUUUGGUGUUGUGGGGAAUCAGGACUGUUACUUUGAAAAAAUUAGAGUGUUUAAAGCAGGCUCACGCUUGAAUACAUUAGCAUGGAAUAAUGAAAUAGGACGUUUGAUUCUAUUUUGUUGGUUUCUAGGAUCGACGUAAUGAUUAAUAGGGAUAGUUGGGGGCAUUAGUAUUCAAUUGUCAGAGGUGAAAUUCUUGGAUUUAUUGAAGACUAACUACUGCGAAAGCAUUUGCCAAGGAUGUUUUCAUUAAUCAAGAACGAAAGUUAGGGGAUCGAAGACGAUCAGAUACCGUCGUAGUCUUAACCAUAAACUAUGCCGACUAGGGAUCGGAUGAUGUUAAUUUUUUAAUGACUCAUUCGGCGCCUUACGGGAAAC